Molecule: long non-coding RNA, 2225 nt
Organism: Triticum dicoccoides
Lineage: Eukaryota; Viridiplantae; Streptophyta; Magnoliopsida; Poales; Poaceae
Exons: 4
Source: RefSeq, a predicted model, not a curated record
AAUGCCACCGUCCUCGCUUGCCCACCCUCUACACGGCCGGCCGGCCGCCGCCGCCCACACCACCGCUCCUCCGCUCGGCCGCUGCCCCACAGAUGCGAUCGCCGUUGCCUCCGCAGCUCCUUCGCUAGGCUGCUCCCGCAUGGAUGCGGUCGCCGCCCCUCGUUCGGCUGAUGUGUGAUGUCCAGUCACCGCUUCCUCUGCUACGACGGGCCGCCGCCGACCUCCUCGGCCGAAAACCAUAGCCAUGGACCAAGCUCUGCCAGACCUUCUCUCGCGACUUCCGGCCUUCCUCUCGACCAGAUCGACAACGGGAUGCCCAGAUCUGACACGACGCCGUUCGUUUCCGCCUUGCCUAGCCGCACUGAGCAUCCGAACCACCUCCCCAGACAGCGCCGCCAUCGUCGCCAAGGCGGCGCCGGUCUCGGCCACGGCGCAGGAGGUGCCGUCGUCACCCUCCAUGUCGUCAUCUGGCUGGGCCGUCGAGGAUCUCCUGCAGUUCUCCCUACGGGCACCGUCAAGGGCACUGAUCGUCUAUCACAAAUCAAUCAGGCGAACCUUUAAUUCAAAUCAAUCUGGUGAUUUUUUUGGUGUGUUAUUAAUCAGCUUCCAUGGUAAGUAGUAGAGUUGGAGGGAUCCUCACGUUUUCAAUUUUUUGGUGCUAUAAUCAAUAAGAUCUCCGUCUGAUAUAGUAGCUUAUGAGCACACGUACCCCGCAGCAUCAAACAAAUACUCGGUUUCAGAGUUAAUUUCUGUAAGUCUGGCUUACCUAAAUACUCAUUUGAUUCACUGUUGGGUAAUUGAAUAGGGGUAAAAAAAGUGAGGUGCAACUCAAGCGAAUAAACAGUAGAAGAAUGAAGAAGUAAGCAGGGAGUGGAUGUAGAUCCUCCAAGGGAACAUCAAGGUAAGGCAUUAAACUGAAUUUGUGGCACUACUGAAUAUAUGAACUGGCUUGUUAGGACCAACUUAUCUGAAACUAAUGUGUGAAAAGCUGGACAGGGCGAAAUAAUUUGUAAGUAUAGUACAAAACUGUACGGAAAAUCUUAUGGCAAUUUUCCUAUUGAUGCUUCUAGGUACUGGUUGUGCCCACCUGUUGUGGGGUUGCUUCUACCUAAACCAUGUGGAUUACUCUUCGUACAAUUUUCUUGCAGUUAGUGUCGGGAACUCUGUGUACUUGUGAAAUGCAUGCAGCAACAAGGUCUGCCAACCAUUGUCAUUGUUGCAAGAUUACUUUUUUGAAAGUUGUAAAGAGAACGAGAGAUAGAACUAAGUAAGUUGCUCUAGCUCUCACCAAGCUAUGUCAUUGAGCAGGUCACUAAGCUUUGCUAUUCGGGUGCAUAUGACACUAAUUAUCCAGUGGGUUGGGCACAACAUGGCACUCAGCAGCCCGUAGGAAAGAAAUGGUUCUCUAAGUUGGGAUGGUUUUGUGAUUAAUUGUUGGCUUGUUGCCAUCAGAUUUACUUACAUGGUCAGCUUCCAGUGUUCAACUAUUAUAUGUAGCACCGCAGAUGCAUAUAUUACUAUUCAGUGUAUACUAAAGUUUUACUUUGCAGAAGAAAUGCAUGGCACAGAUGAUGUUACUUGCUGUUCUAGGUGUGGUGAUCUCAACAUUUUUGCUUGGCGCUGCUAUAAAGCUUACUUUUCCGUAUGAUUGGAACUGGAAAACAUCAUUCUUGUUCGGCGGACGCUCAGUGCAACCGAUCAUGUUACUAUGAUUGCUCUUCUAAAAGACCUAGGCGCAAGCAAAAAGCUCAGUACGAUAAUCGAAGGAGAAUCCUUAAUGAACGAUAGUGUUGCUCUGGGCCUUGCAUUUGGAAUCGCAUCUCUACUAUGGCUGGGCUUUAUUUUCGAUGGUACAAUCAUACAGAUUUCACUAACACUUGCAGUCAGAUAUAUGGCUUUCUUCACUGUAAGAUAAUCAGAUAACGGACAUAUCAAGGCUCUUAUAUUUCUAUUUUUAUCUCUAGAAGGACAUGAUUUUCUUAGUGUUUGGAAAUGGUUUUAAGCUUGAGUAAUAGAAUGGUUGUCAAGCAACCCUUUUUGCAACACUGGGAUGCUGUUUUAAUGGCUUGUGAUGGCAAUCCAGGGUUAUUUCUGGAUACAUUCAUGUGUGCCAAUGAGGUUUCCAUGUACUGAUGAUGUAAUAUUAGAUUUUUUAUCUUGUCAAUUUCUUACCCUGGCAGUACGACUAUGUACUCAGACUGCUAGAAAAGUGUAUUUUCUUUUAA